Molecule: non-coding RNA, 185 nt
Filed under: Secundilactobacillus silagei
Lineage: Bacteria; Bacillati; Bacillota; Bacilli; Lactobacillales; Lactobacillaceae
Description: Lactobacillus silagei Lysine sequence
Rfam family: Lysine riboswitch aptamer
About the family: Riboswitches are metabolite binding domains within certain messenger RNAs that serve as precision sensors for their corresponding targets.
Source: RNAcentral
UUAAAUCGAAGAGGUUGCAACCGACACCAGUCAGUUCGCUUAGUCACUGUAAUGACGAAGAGGCGGACCUAACAGGGACGUUGCCGAAGCGCUGCACUGUUACAGCAGUCAGUUAGCUGGGACGCGAUCCAAUAAAUCACGGACUGUCGCAGAUAUAUAACGUCUGCGGAGCGCUAUCGAAAAUG